AGUGAACGCUGGCGGUAGGCCUAACACAUGCAAGUCGAACGGCAGCACAGUAAGAGCUUGCUCUUACGGGUGGCGAGUGGCGGACGGGUGAGGAAUACAUCGGAAUCUACUUUUUCGUGGGGGAUAACGUAGGGAAACUUACGCUAAUACCGCAUACGACCUACGGGUGGAAGCAGGGGAUCUUCGGACCUUGCGCGAUUGAAUGAGCCGAUGUCGGAUUAGCUAGUUGGCGGGGUAAAGGCCCACCAAGGCGACGAUCCGUAGCUGGUCUGAGAGGAUGACCGGCCCCCUUGGAACUGGGACACGGCCCAGACUCCUACGGGAGGCAGGCGGGGGAAAUUUUGGACAAGGGGCGAAAGCCUGACCCAGCCAUCCCGCGGGGGUGAAGAAGCCCUUCGGGUUUUAAACCCCUUUUUUUGGGAAAAAAAAGCAGCAGGUUAAAACCCCGCUGUUUUGACGGGACCCAAAGAAUAAGCACCGGCUAACUUCGU
This 491-nucleotide ribosomal RNA is filed under the name uncultured bacterium. RNAcentral's name for it is "partial 16S ribosomal RNA". It matches the Rfam family "Bacterial small subunit ribosomal RNA", at positions 29 to 506 of the family's 1533-position model. The record is from RNAcentral.